Molecule: ribosomal RNA, 92 nt
Filed under: Acinetobacter baumannii
Lineage: Bacteria; Pseudomonadati; Pseudomonadota; Gammaproteobacteria; Moraxellales; Moraxellaceae
Description: partial 16S ribosomal RNA
Rfam family: Bacterial small subunit ribosomal RNA
Source: RNAcentral
UUUAACUGAAGAGUUUGAUCAUGGCUCAGAUUGAACGCUGGCGGCAGGCUUAACACAUGCAAGUCGAGCGGGGGAAGGUAGCUUGCUACUGG